Molecule: ribosomal RNA, 594 nt
Filed under: uncultured bacterium
Lineage: Bacteria
Description: bacterial SSU rRNA
Rfam family: Bacterial small subunit ribosomal RNA
Source: RNAcentral
GGGGGCCCGCACAAGCGGCGGAGCAUGUUGCUUAAUUCGAUGCAACGCGAAGAACCUUACCUAGGCUUGACAUGCACGGAAAUCCUCCAGAGAUGGUGGGUCCGCAAGGGUCGUGCACAGGUGGUGCAUGGUUGUCGUCAGCUCGUGUCGUGAGAUGUUGGGUUAAGUCCCGCAACGAGCGCAACCCUCGUUCUAUGUUGCCAGCACGUGAUGGUGGGGACUCAUAGGAGACUGCCGGGGUCAACUCGGAGGAAGGUGGGGAUGACGUCAAAUCAUCAUGCCCCUUAUGUCUAGGGCUGCAAACAUACUACAAUGGCCGGUACAAAGGGCUGCGAUACCGCGAGGUGGAGCGAAUCCCAAAAAGCCGGUCUCAGUUCGGAUUGGGGUCUGCAACUCGACCCCAUGAAGUCGGAGUCGCUAGUAAUCGCGGAUCAGCAUGCCGCGGUGAAUACGUUCCCGGGCCUUGUACACACCGCCCGUCACACCAUGGGAGUUGGUUCUACCCGAAGGCGAUGCGCUAACCCGUAAGGGAGGCAGUCGACCACGGUAGGGUCAGCGACUGGGGUGAAGUCGUAACAAGGUAACCGUAAGGGC